AGACAGCCAAGGGUUACUUUCCUAUAGAUGUCAUGUAUCCAGACUUCUGCUGCCAUUUCUACACUGGCUUAAUAUCAGUGGUACUGGUAUCAGGUACAUUGUGCCUGCGAGCACGUGGUAGCCCAACAAGAUAUCUUCUAAAAAUACCACUAGUCACCAUGGCGAUCCCUCUAAAAAUUGUAACUGUGUACAACAGCCAUACAUCACAGCUGACACUGUUUAUCCAGGUAGCGUUUUGAUGAUUUUGUCCACAAAAUAAAAGCUCCUGACACUACUGCCCAUGUAUACAACAAUGAAGGGAGUUGAAAUCUAUCACAUGGUAAAGAAGUUCUUUGUGGAGAAAAAGUGGGUGGGGCUGCUCGAGGAUACUGAAAUCAAAUCACUUCAUGCAAGUGGACAUGAGAGCGUUGGUGAGAGUGCAACAUUCAAUUUGCAUGCUGGACAGAUUAAAAUCCUAAUGUUGCAAAAUGACCUCCACCUCAAAGCCCAUCACGGUGUACCACACUUUUGUUGCCUUAUGGACACAGAAUGAACAAAGGUGUAUGCACAGCAGCUAUGAAUGUUGUCUACGUGUUUUGGUUCAACCUACCUCUGUGUAUCAUCCUUUUCUGACAUAAAUUUGAUCAAGAGCAAACACAGGAUAUGCUUGUGAGUUAAAAUGAAACCAGCAUCUUUCUUUAACCCUACAUGUAACCUAUCGUGCCAUUCAAUUGUUUGUCCUACAAAUGUAAUAAAGUACAAAAGUGAAAUGAAUUUAAGAUUUAAUAAUGUUCUAAGAAAUGUUACAGCAGUCAUUUCUACAACAUUAUAAUAGGUGUGAUAUCAAGCACAAGGCUACAAAUCAAUAACAGAGAGAAAAACACUGAAAAAGAUAAAACUACAAAGGUUGAAAGCAAUUGGUGUACUUUUUUUAGAACAACACUAAACAGAGAGAAGAAACAACUUGGUAACAUGAACAAUGACAUAACAUGGAUAACAAAUAGAGGGAAACAGGACAGAAGACAGGACAAAGCAAGAUUCAGGAAACAGGAUAUAAGUGGAAAUAAAACAACAGAAAAAGUAAAAGGUAAAAAAGUGUAAAUAAAAAUAAUAACAAUAAAAUCACAAUAACAAUAAACAAACAAAUUACAAAAAGUAAAAACUAGUAAAAACUAGCAGAGACUAACCUUUUUUAAAAACCGGGGAAACUUAUGGAAUUAUGGAUUAGACAAAGAGGAAACAGCACACACGGGAGAAAUAAUUAGACAUGAAAACAAAAAACAAGAACAACAUGAAAAAAGAAGAAAAGAAGAAAACUUCCGUGACACCACGAAUAGAGGUCAAAAGACAAAAAGUAAAGCAUAAAACAAACAAAAACUAAAGAGGCAGGAUACAUACAGAGACAAACCAUAAUGACCUGGGUAAAAAGAUGAGGAAACACGAACUAGACAAUGGGAAAACAAAAAAAAAGUGACUGCUUCAGUCUCAGCUGACUACAGGUUUCCCCAGUCUUAGAAAUAGUACAUUUGCAUAAUGACUAAAACUAGCUAUUAGUACUAUUAGCUGGUACUAUUAGUACCAUUCACAGAGUUGGGGAAUGGCUGCUAUCACAGGAUUGUAAGAUGGCGAAAGAUGUACCCUUAGGCUCCCUUCCCAAUUCAGAGAUGUUCUUUCUCUUUUCACAUAAAAAGCCUCUUUGACUCCCCACUCAAACCAGCGUUCCUCCCUGUUCAGGAUGUGUACAUCCUCAUCAUUGAAAGAGUGUCCACUGGCCUGUAGGUGUAAAUAGACUCUAGAGUCCUGGCCUGACAAGGUAGAUCUUCAGUGUUGUGCCAUCUGCUUAGAGGUUCUUUGGUUUUCCCGAUGUAUAAAUCAUGGCAAUCCUCCCGGCACAUAACGGUGUACGCUAUAUUACUCUGUUUGUGCCAGGGACCCGAUCCUUGUUCACAAAGUGACAACCAACCCAUUGUUCAUUCACUGGACUAGUUUCAGUCAUUGUGCAAAUGUACUGUUUCUAAGGUUGGAGAAACCUGCAGUCAGCUGAGACUGAAGAAGUCACUUGGAUGAGUGACGAAACAUUUC
Long non-coding RNA from Astatotilapia calliptera (eastern happy), 2061 nucleotides. The record is from Ensembl. Lineage: Eukaryota; Metazoa; Chordata; Actinopteri; Cichliformes; Cichlidae.